This 503-nucleotide ribosomal RNA is filed under the name Bacillus sp. (in: firmicutes). Its description in RNAcentral is "bacterial SSU rRNA". It matches the Rfam family "Bacterial small subunit ribosomal RNA", at positions 25 to 511 of the family's 1533-position model. The record is from RNAcentral. Lineage: Bacteria; Bacillati; Bacillota; Bacilli; Caryophanales; Bacillaceae.
CAGGACGAACGCUGGCGGCGUGCCUAAUACAUGCAAGUCGAGCGGACAGAAGGGAGCUUGCUCCCGGAUGUUAGCGGCGGACGGGUGAGUAACACGUGGGUAACCUGCCUGUAAGACUGGGAUAACUCCGGGAAACCGGAGCUAAUACCGGAUAGUUCCUUGAACCGCAUGGUUCAAGGAUGAAAGACGGUUUCGGCUGUCACUUACAGAUGGACCCGCGGCGCAUUAGCUAGUUGGUGGGGUAAUGGCUCACCAAGGCGACGAUGCGUAGCCGACCUGAGAGGGUGAUCGGCCACACUGGGACUGAGACACGGCCCAGACUCCUACGGGAGGCAGCAGUAGGGAAUCUUCCGCAAUGGACGAAAGUCUGACGGAGCAACGCCGCGUGAGUGAUGAAGGUUUUCGGAUCGUAAAGCUCUGUUGUUAGGGAAGAACAAGUGCGAGAGUAACUGCUCGCACCUUGACGGUACCUAACCAGAAAGCCACGGCUAACUACGUGCCAG